RNAcentral lists this ribosomal RNA (253 nucleotides) under uncultured bacterium. RNAcentral's name for it is "partial 16S ribosomal RNA". It matches the Rfam family "Bacterial small subunit ribosomal RNA", at positions 524 to 776 of the family's 1533-position model. The record is from RNAcentral.
UACGUAGGGUGCGAGCGUUAAUCGGAAUUACUGGGCGUAAAGCGUGCGCAGGCGGUUCGCCAAGUCAGGUGUGAAAUCCCCGGGCUUAACCUGGGAAUUGCGCUUGAAACUAGCGGGCUUGAGUGUGGCAGAGGGGGGUGGAAUUCCACGUGUAGCAGUGAAAUGCGUAGAGAUGUGGAGGAACAUCCGUGGCGAAGGCGGCCAUCUGGAUCAACACUGACGCUGAGGCACGAAAGCGUGGGGAGCAAACAGG